RNAcentral lists this unclassified non-coding RNA (285 nucleotides) under air metagenome. RNAcentral's name for it is "partial contains small subunit ribosomal RNA, internal transcribed spacer 1, and 5.8S ribosomal RNA". The stretch from base 1 to 46 matches the Rfam family "Eukaryotic small subunit ribosomal RNA", at positions 1786 to 1831 of the family's 1831-position model. The record is from RNAcentral.
AAGUCGUAACAAGGUUUCCGUAGGUGAACCUGCGGAAGGAUCAUUAUUGAAUAAACCUGGCUUGCUGAUGCUGGUCUCCUCGGAGGCAUGUGCUCGCUUGUCCAUCUUUAUAUCUCCACCUGUGCACACUCUGUAGACUUGUAUUGAGGCUGGGGAAGUCAAUUCUCUGGCAGCUUUGCUUUCUACGUUUUUUCAUAUACUCCAUGAAAUGUAACAGAAUGUAUCACUAGGUCUUUGAACCUAUAAAACAAUAUACAACUUUCAGCAACGGAUCUCUUGGCUCUC